Long non-coding RNA from Rhipicephalus sanguineus (brown dog tick), 1244 nucleotides. RefSeq lists it as uncharacterized. The record is from RefSeq and is a predicted model, not a curated record. The transcript has 3 exons. NCBI's taxonomy places the organism in Eukaryota, Metazoa, Arthropoda, Arachnida, Ixodida, Ixodidae.
UGCACCAUGUGGGUGUGCGCACCGCCUCCAAGAAACUGCUCAUAUCAGCACCCGCUCGGAUGCUUUAUCUCUGAACCUACCUCAAGUCAGCAGAGGAUGUUCCACUACAGAAAGUAAAUUCGUCGUCCCAAAUCCUCACAAGGAAACUGGACAAAAGAGAGAUCAUUGGUUUCCAAGCUACCCACACCAAGUCGUAAGAAGCUCAAGAGUCGCCUAUCCACCACCAAAGUUUACCAGGCGGACAAAUGCAAGCCUUAUACUGAAAAGCAGUGAUAGUGUACGGCAUGUUGAAGCAGUACGAAAUUGGGUCCACAAAUUAUUGCUUCUUGCUUCAUGAAUUACUCAGUUUAGAGGAAAUGUGCUGGCUUCAAAUUUCUUGGAUAGUGCAUGUGAUGGGGUGCACAUACUGUACUUUAAUCUACGUGUGAAACUUUGCAUAGAGUAUCACAUGUAACUUGGUAGCAAGUGGGCCAGUAGUAGUGUACAUUUAGCAGCACUUGUUCUUCCCAGUGAAUAUAGUUUGCUGCAAUUGUGGAGGCUGUUGGAAAGCAAUGGCAGGGAAAGCUACAGUAGUGCUGAAACAAAGAGUUAUGUACGUGCACCGAUUGCUUGUAGGGAGGGACAUUGUGAAGGUUCUAAAAUAGAAAACUGUGUGCAAACACUCGUGCCUUCAUUAAACAAGGCAUUUCGUGUAGUGGUCACCUGGAGAAUAGUUUCCGGGUCGCUACUCUGGAAUAAAUAACGUUUGAUGAUGGGAGUAGGAGAAUAGAAGCAUGUGCAUAAGGACAUUUUGGGCAGUGUUCUAUGAAACAGGCUGCUGAAUUUGUAAAGCAUUUGAAAAUUUAGUCUUUAGUUUUAUUCAAUGAACUUCGCCAAUACAUUAAUGGGAUGAUAUGUAAACAGACGCAUCCAGAAAAGAGGGUACAGCACCGUUGCAUUUGUGCAAGCAAUUUGUUUUGUAUGUGAAGUGGAACCACAGACAAGUAGCAAAUAAUAUUUGUUCUAGAUAACAGACCUGACACAUGACACGGAGUUUUUAAAAGUAUGUUUAUUUUUAACAGAAAAAUAAAUGAGUGCACUCAAUAGAUACAAUCAGAGUUCAAUAGAGUUGGCCAGUGUUUGUGCAUGUUGAAGAUUUGAAUGUGUAAUAACUGCUAUUUCUUUGAUAUUGGCGUGAGCUAUAUAUCCAAAAAAGGCUAGUUUUGUGUUCAUGCUUGUGAUGCGCUGCAGGUAGACACGGACCA